Molecule: ribosomal RNA, 501 nt
Filed under: Polyphylla laticollis
Lineage: Eukaryota; Metazoa; Arthropoda; Insecta; Coleoptera; Scarabaeidae
Description: partial 16S ribosomal RNA
Rfam family: Bacterial large subunit ribosomal RNA
Source: RNAcentral
UUUGAUCAUAAUUUAAAGUCUGACCUGCCCAAUGAGGAGUUAAAUGGCCGCGGUAAUUUGACCGUGCAAAGGUAGCAUAAUCAUUAGUUUUUUAAUUGGAAGCUGGAAUGAACGGUUGGACGAGGGAGUAACUGUCUCGGUUUAAUUGAUUUAGAAUUUUAUUUUUAAGUAAAAAAGCUUAAAUAAAUUUAAAAGACGAGAAGACCCUAUAGAGUUUUACACAAUUUAUUAUAUGAAAGUAUUAGUAUAUAUCUAUUUAUAUAAUAACUUGUGUUUUGUUGGGGCGACAGAAAAAUUAAAUGAACUUUUUAUAUAUUGGAACAUUAAUGUAUGAGUGAAUGAUCCGCCAAGGGCGAUUAUAAGAUUAAAUUACCUUAGGGAUAACAGCGUAAUUUUUUUUGAGAGUUCUAAUCGAAAAAAGAGUUUGCGACCUCGAUGUUGGAUUAAAAUUAAUUUUCGGUGUAGGGGCUGAAAUAUUGGGUCUGUUCGACCUUUAAAAUU